CGCGUCCGUUAAGAACCCCACGCCUUUAUUGUCGGCGAAGGAAGGCGAACGAGGAAAGCCUAGCCGCCUGAGGAAGGAACGCCAAGAUCCGCAAGGCCGGCGACCAUGGCAGCGGUUCAGUGCGCAGCGAGGAGGCUCGGUGGCUCCCUGCUCCAGCGAACGCAGGCGGCGGUCGCGGCGGACGGAUGCCAGGUCGCGCCAAGCAGCCUGAUGCGCUGCCGCGGGCUCUCCAGCGAGGUCCCCAGCGAGGCGCAUGAUGUCCAUCGAACAUGCGGCUAAGAGUGUCGUAUAUGGAGCUGCCAAGUUGACUAUUUCGUAUGUGGCUGUUGUUACUGCUUUCCAGGCUUUUACCGAGGAAAACUAGUAGUGAACAAAAGAUGCAAAGAUGCGAACCAAAGAUGGCCACGACAUGUUUUUAGUUUAAUUAUAACCUCUGCAGUUUUGCUAGCUAGCACUAUGCCAUCGUACGUUGUGAUAUUGUGUGACACGGUAUCAUGUUAUUAUAUCUCUUUAUAUCUAUUCGAAUAGACUGCCUGCAUGCAUGCAUGAAACUGUAGCUUGAUGCGAACACAUGUGCAUACCUUG
Molecule: long non-coding RNA, 585 nt
Organism: Triticum urartu
Lineage: Eukaryota; Viridiplantae; Streptophyta; Magnoliopsida; Poales; Poaceae
Source: RefSeq, a predicted model, not a curated record